RNAcentral lists this ribosomal RNA (426 nucleotides) under uncultured bacterium. Its description in RNAcentral is "partial 16S ribosomal RNA". It matches the Rfam family "Bacterial small subunit ribosomal RNA", at positions 354 to 796 of the family's 1533-position model. The record is from RNAcentral.
GUGAGGAAUAUUCCGCAAUGGGGGAAACCCUGACGGAGCAAUGCGGCGUGCAGGAUGAAGGCCCUCGGGUCGUAAACUGCUUUUAUAUGAGAAGAAUAUGACGGUAACAUAUGAAUAAGGGACGGCUAACUACGUGCCAGCAGCCGCGGUCAUACGUAGGUCCCAAGCGUUAUCCGGAGUGACUGGGCGUAAAGAGUUGCGUAGGCGGCUCGUUAAGCGUGAAAUGAAAUUUAUCGGCUCAACCGGUAAACUAUUUCGCGAACUGACGGGCUCGAGAGUAUGAGAGGUUACUGGAAUUUCUAGUGUAGCAGUGAAAUGCGUAGAUAUUAGAAAGAACACCAACGGCGUAGGCAGGUAACUGGCAUACAUCUGACGCUGAGGCACGAAAGCGUGGGGAGCGAACCGGAUUAGAUACCCCAGUAGUCC